RNAcentral lists this ribosomal RNA (497 nucleotides) under uncultured bacterium. Its description in RNAcentral is "partial 16S ribosomal RNA". It matches the Rfam family "Bacterial small subunit ribosomal RNA", at positions 28 to 507 of the family's 1533-position model. The record is from RNAcentral.
GAUGAACGCUGGCGGCGUGCCUAAUACAUGCAAGUCGAGCGAACGGACGAGAAGCUUGCUUCUCUGAUGUUAGCGGCGGACGGGUGAGUAACACGUGGAUAACCUACCUAUAAGACUGGGAUAACUUCGGGAAACCGGAGCUAAUACCGGAUAAUAUUUUGAACCGCAUGGUUCAAAAGUGAAAGACGGUCUUGCUGUCACUUAUAGAUGGAUCCGCGCUGCAUUAGCCAGUUGGUAAGGUAACGGCUUACCAAGGCAACGAUGCAUAGCCGACCUGAGAGGGUGAUCGGCCACACUGGAACUGAGACACGGUCCAGACUCCUACGGGAGGCAGCAGUAGGGAAUCUUCCGCAAUGGGCGAAAGCCUGACGGAGCAACGCCGCGUGAGUGAUGAAGGUCUUCGGAUCGUAAAACUCUGUUAUUAGGGAAGAACAUAUGUGUAAGUAACUGUGCACAUCUUGACGGUACCCAAUCAGAAAGCCACGGCUAACUACGUG